CCUACGGGUGGCAGCAGUGGGGAAUAUUGCACAAUGGAGGGAACUCUGAUGCAGCGACGCCGCGUGAGUGAAGAAGUAAUUCGUUAUGUAAAGCUCUAUCAGCAGGGAAGAAAGUGACGGUACCUGAAAAAGAAGCUCCGGCUAAAUACGUGCCAGCAGCCGCGGUAAUACGGAGGAUGCGAGCGUUAUCCGGAUUUAUUGGGUUUAAAGGGUGCGUAGGCGGACUGUUAAGUCAGCGGUAAAAGCCCGGGGCUCAACCCCGGCGAGCCGUUGAAACUGGCUGUCUUGAGAUGUCGAGAGGUAUGCGGAAUGCGCAGUGUAGCGGUGAAAUGCUUAGAUAUUGCGCAGAACUCCGAUUGCGAAGGCAGCAUACCGGCGGCGAUCUGACGCUGAGGCACGAAAGCGUGGGUAUCGAACAGGAUUAGAUACCCCAGUAGUC
RNAcentral lists this ribosomal RNA (439 nucleotides) under uncultured bacterium. Its description in RNAcentral is "partial 16S ribosomal RNA". It matches the Rfam family "Bacterial small subunit ribosomal RNA", at positions 338 to 795 of the family's 1533-position model. The record is from RNAcentral.